This 31-nucleotide non-coding RNA is filed under the name Homo sapiens (human). The record is from RNAcentral. Lineage: Eukaryota; Metazoa; Chordata; Mammalia; Primates; Hominidae.
UGUGUUAAGAUACUCUCCCCAAGUGCUACCA